AGGCAGCAGUAAGGAAUAUUGGUCAAUGGACGCAAGUCUGAACCAGCCAUGCCGCGUGAAGGAUGAAGGUCCUCUGGAUUGUAAACUUCUUUUAUUUGGGAAGAAAUCCAUUUUUUCUAAAGUGGUUGACGGUACCAGAUGAAUAAGCACCGGCUAACUCCGUGCCAGCAGCCGCGGUAAUACGGAGGGUGCAAGCGUUAUCCGGAUUCACUGGGUUUAAAGGGUGCGUAGGUGGGCAGGUAAGUCAGUGGUGAAAUCUCCGGGCUUAACCCGGAAACUGCCAUUGAUACUAUCUGUCUUGAAUACCGUGGAGGUGAGCGGAAUAUGUCAUGUAGCGGUGAAAUGCUUAGAUAUGACAUAGAACACCAAUUGCGAAGGCAGCUCACUACGCGAAUAUUGACACUGAGGCACGAAAGCGUGGGGAUCAAACAGGAUUAGAUACCCUGGUAGUCCACGCCCUAAACGAUGGAUACUCGACAUACGCGAUACACAGUGUGUGUCUGAGCGAAAGCAUUAAGUAUCCCACCUGGGAAGUACGACCGCAAGGUUGAAACUCAAAGGAAUUG
RNAcentral lists this ribosomal RNA (566 nucleotides) under uncultured Bacteroidota bacterium. RNAcentral describes it as "bacterial SSU rRNA". It matches the Rfam family "Bacterial small subunit ribosomal RNA", at positions 346 to 912 of the family's 1533-position model. The record is from RNAcentral. Lineage: Bacteria; Pseudomonadati; Bacteroidota.